RNAcentral lists this long non-coding RNA (948 nucleotides) under Felis catus (domestic cat). RNAcentral describes it as "lncRNA (ENSFCAG00000045644.2)". The record is from RNAcentral. Lineage: Eukaryota; Metazoa; Chordata; Mammalia; Carnivora; Felidae.
GUACCUCCAUGUCACAACUCUUGGUCUUAUCUCUGAGAUGCACUGAGCUUCUGGUCUUUUGGCCCAAUCUCCCCCAGCUCUUGAUGCGCCAAGUCUUUCCUGUGGGAGCUGGAGAAGAAAAGGACUGUAAAAGGAUCUUACUUUGAAAGUUACUGCGGUGGUCCAGGGAAAGUGCCAGCGGCAGUCUGGAACCGAGCCUGCCCGCCUGCCUCUUAGGUAAGGGAUCUGUACUUUCCCAGUGCUGGGCAAGAGACCCCUUCUGGGUCAGGGCAGGUGGUGAGCCAGGGAGCCAGGGGAGGGGGCGGUUGGAGGGGGCGCAUGCCAGCGAGCAAUGCCAUGUCUGCUUCUCACCUCCUUCAGGUAGACUGGGCAACAAUUGAAAAGACAGAGGGCAUAGGGUACAGUCCGUUCCUGGUCCCGCCUGGACAUCACACACUCAUAUUUACUCCUAGAACGAAAUGCAUGAGAUGGAAAAAUAGUCCAGGCAGCUCAAAGACCAUAUCCUACAGCUAUUAUUCCAAAUCGACAAGGUAUAUACACUCUUUCAGCAUCUGUGUAGAAAGUCUCAAGAAAGAUGGCCAUUUCAAAGCCAAUCACUCUGGCUUGGGAAGAGAGGACUUAGACCGGCCCAUCAAGACUGCAUGCCCCCUUCUGCAUCUGGGGGCACAUGGAGUGCCAGUGGGAAUGCUCAAAGAUGCGUCUUUGAAGGGCAUGGAGCCCCGGAGAAUUUCUGACCUGUGUGAACCCUCUCUCCCGCUGCUAGAAGAUAACUCAGAGAGGCGGCUCUGAGGUCACUUCACUGGACACAUGUUGGAAGAAAGGAAAGGGACAGCCUCACUUUCCAGCAUUGUCCAGAUUCAUCAGGAAGCAAAUCGGGACUGCUUUGUCAACUCAUGAGGUGAUGUUUGAAAACAGCACGAGACAGAGUCUAAGACGUCUGUCUUCUCA